RNAcentral lists this small RNA (845 nucleotides) under Pan troglodytes (chimpanzee). RNAcentral describes it as "retained intron". Lineage: Eukaryota; Metazoa; Chordata; Mammalia; Primates; Hominidae. The record is from RNAcentral.
AUACAGUGCUAACUCAUUCUUGUUGAAUGUUGUGUAUGGAUAGGACCAGGUCUGGGCCCACAGUUGCCUUUUCAGUGAUGUCCUCAGGUCUGUGGUCACAGGGUGGUGUUAAGAGCCCUUGCAGCUCACAAGAACUUCUUGUUACAGGAAGGAGGCUGCAGUGUGCCAGUAGCCGUGCAUACAGCUAUGAAGGAUGGGCAAGUAAGUGGGGGGAAAUGGGCGGGAAGCCAGGGAAAGGAGGACUGUGGCAUUUCUUCCUGUGCAUCCCAGGUUUCUAAGUAGUCCCCUCUCAGACUGUGCUGAGGCAACUGUUUUCUUCCCCAGCUGUACCUGACUGGAGGAGUCUGGAGUCUAGACGGCUCAGAUAGCAUACAAGAGACCAUGCAGGCUACCAUCCAUGUCCCUGCCCAGCAUGAAGAUGGCCCUGAGGAUGACCCACAGUUGGUAGGCAUCACUGCUCGUAACAUUCCACGAGGGCCCCAGUUGGCUGCCCAGAACUUGGGCAUCAGCCUGGCCAACUUGUUGCUGAGCAAAGGAGCCAAAAACAUCCUGGAUGUUGCACGGCAGCUUAACGAUGCCCAUUAACUGGUUUGUGGGGCACAGAUGCCUGGGUUGCUGCUGUCCAGUGCCUACAUCCCGGGCCUCAGUGCCCCAUUCUCACUGCUAUCUGGGGACUGAUUACCCCAGGAGACUGAACUGCAGGGUUCAAGCCUUCCAGGGAUUUGCCUCACCUUGGGGCCUUGAUGACUGCCUUGCCUCCUCAGUAUGUGGGGGCUUCAUCUCUUUAGAGAAGUCCAAGCAACAGCCUUUGAAUGUAACCAACCCUACUAAUAAACCAGUUCUGA